RNAcentral lists this ribosomal RNA (492 nucleotides) under uncultured bacterium. RNAcentral's name for it is "partial 16S ribosomal RNA". It matches the Rfam family "Bacterial small subunit ribosomal RNA", at positions 29 to 507 of the family's 1533-position model. The record is from RNAcentral.
AGUGAACGCUGGCGGUAUGCCUAACACAUGCAAGUCGAACGGCAGCACAGUAAGAGCUUGCUCUUACGGGUGGCGAGUGGCGUACGGGUGAGGAAUACAUCGGAAUCUACUUUUUCGUGGGGGAUAACGUAGGGAAACUUACGCUAAUACCGCAUACGACCUACGGGUGAAAGCAGUGGAUCUUCUGACCUUGCGCGAGUGAAUGAGCCGCUGUCGGAUUGGCUGGUUGGCGGGGUAAAUGCCCACGAAGGCGACGAUCCGUAGCUGGUGUGAGAGGCUGAUCAGCCACACUAGAACUGGGACACGGACCAGACUACUACGAGAGGCAGCAGUGGGGAAUAUUGGACAAUGGGCGCAAGCAUGAUACAGCCAUACCGAGUGGGUGAAGAAGGCCUUCGGGUUGUAAAGCCCUUUUGUUGGGAAAGAAACGCAGCAGGUUAAUACCCCGCUGUUCUGACGGUAACCAAAGAAUAAGCACCGGCUAACUUCGUG